This is a long non-coding RNA of Strongylocentrotus purpuratus (purple sea urchin), 639 nucleotides long. RefSeq lists it as uncharacterized. NCBI's taxonomy places the organism in Eukaryota, Metazoa, Echinodermata, Echinoidea, Camarodonta, Strongylocentrotidae. The record is from RefSeq and is a predicted model, not a curated record. The transcript has 3 exons.
AUGUACAUGUCUCACUACCUACACUUCAGUGGUAAUGAAAUUAUGAUGAUGUUUUUGCUUUCACUUAGUUUCAGAUGCAGUAGAUACAAUUUGCACUUAUAUGAAGGAAGAACUGGGAAAGUACAUCUACUUUUCAAGAAUGCCACAGGCCAGACACAAAUCCAGAUUGGAUACAGGGACCGACAUGCUGGUAAGAUGGGUCCUUGAUAAUUCACUGAACACAGAGCUGCAGAUGUGACUCGGCAUAGUGACCUAAGAGUGGGAGCGGUAUGGAACCGUUGAAGCAAUUCACCGAACACUGUUGAAGCAAUUCACCGAACACAGUCAGAGCUGCAUGUGUGACUUGGCAUGGUGACCCUUAAAGUCUCCUGACGGCUCCGAUUGCGAUUCUGAUGAUGACCCAUUGUCUAUGCUUGUGAGCGAGUCAAAAGUCUAGAUCAAGGAUCUUCUCUGCUUCAACCACUAUCGCUUGGAUGACAUUAUGUGUGAAGAAACUUGAAGGACUUGUGUUGAAGGGCAUGCUUGAGAAACUAGAAUCAAUUACAUUGAUCGUUUUGGCAAUGCUUCAAUGUUUCCAUACCUCAAUCUCUCUUUUAUACUGUUUGAUUUUAAACAUUUUGAAUAUCAUAAAUAAAGCAA